AUAUCUCUCUGUACGGGAAGGAUGAGAAGCUUCGACUAAGGUUCGAUUCGAGCGCAGCGAGAAAGCGUUGCCGU
Molecule: small RNA, 74 nt
Filed under: Salmonella enterica subsp. enterica serovar Montevideo
Lineage: Bacteria; Pseudomonadati; Pseudomonadota; Gammaproteobacteria; Enterobacterales; Enterobacteriaceae
Description: partial RtT sRNA
Rfam family: RtT RNA
About the family: This family represents a bacterial cis-regulatory element known as RtT RNA. The exact function of RtT is unknown although it is thought that it may be involved in changing the cellular response in relation to amino acid starvation.
Source: RNAcentral